UACGUAGGGGGCGAGCGUUGUCCGGAUUUAUUGGGCGUAAAGAGCUCGUAGGCGGUUCGAUAAGUCGGACGUGAAAUCUCCACGCUCAACGUGGAGGGGCCGUUCGAUACUGUCGUGACUCGAGUCCGGUAGGGGAGUGUGGAAUUCCCGGUGUAGCGGUGAAAUGCGCAGAGAUCGGGAGGAACACCCGUAGCGAAGGCGGCACUCUGGGCCGGUACUGACGCUGAGGAGCGAAAGUGUGGGGAGCGAACAGG
RNAcentral lists this ribosomal RNA (254 nucleotides) under uncultured bacterium. RNAcentral describes it as "partial 16S ribosomal RNA". It matches the Rfam family "Bacterial small subunit ribosomal RNA", at positions 524 to 776 of the family's 1533-position model. The record is from RNAcentral.